UGCAGAAGGCAGGGCAGAUUGCUCUAAUGGGAAAGAUGAAGGACUCACGAGAGGCUGAUUUAUGAGGGUUCUUAUUAGACUCUCUUAGACUUUAGGAUGAAGACCAAAGGAAAGGUUUAGACAAAAGGAGAGGUUAGAGGAUCCUAUCUAAUGUUGGUUUAGCUCUACCUGUCCUGCACUGGAGUAAGCGACAAAAAUGAGAGAUACCUGCAGCACUUUGGAAAAAGGAAGGGAGCAUAAACAAGAGCUUUCUCAGUGCAGCUGAGAGGAGAAGAACUGAGGCUGUAGGAUUGCCCAGGUGUGUGAAUGCUACCGGUGCAAUAUGUCCUUCAGCGUUAUCACGACGAGCUAUUGGCUG
Myodes glareolus (Bank vole) is the source of this 358-nucleotide long non-coding RNA. RefSeq lists it as uncharacterized. Lineage: Eukaryota; Metazoa; Chordata; Mammalia; Rodentia; Cricetidae. The record is from RefSeq and is a predicted model, not a curated record.